Molecule: ribosomal RNA, 1724 nt
Filed under: Proteus mirabilis
Lineage: Bacteria; Pseudomonadati; Pseudomonadota; Gammaproteobacteria; Enterobacterales; Morganellaceae
Description: partial 23S ribosomal RNA
Rfam family: Bacterial large subunit ribosomal RNA
Source: RNAcentral
GUUGGGUAGGGGAGCGUUCUGUAAGCCUGCGAAGGUGUACUGUGAGGUAUGCUGGAGGUAUCAGAAGUGCGAAUGCUGACAUAAGUAACGAUAAUGCGGGUGAAAAACCCGCACGCCGGAAGACCAAGGGUUCCUGUCCAACGUUAAUCGGGGCAGGGUGAGUCGACCCCUAAGGCGAGGCUGAAAAGCGUAGUCGAUGGGAAACGGGUUAAUAUUCCCGUACUGGUGGUAACUGCGAUGGGGGAACGGAGAAGGCUAGGUUGUCCGGGCGACGGUCGUCCCGGUUCAAGCAGGUAGGCAGAGUGAUUAGGCAAAUCCGGUCACUUAAUGCUGAGAUGUGAUGACGAACCACUAAGGUGGUGAAGCAAUUGAUGCCCCGCUUCCAGGAAAAGCCUCUAAGCUUCAGGUUACCAACAAUCGUACCCCAAACCGACACAGGUGGUCAGGUAGAGAAUACUCAGGCGCUUGAGAGAACUCGGGUGAAGGAACUAGGCAAAAUGGUGCCGUAACUUCGGGAGAAGGCACGCUGGCGGUAGGUAAAGUCCCUUGCGGACGGCGCUGAAGCCAGUCGAAGAUACCAGCUGGCUGCAACUGUUUAUUAAAAACACAGCACUGUGCAAACACGAAAGUGGACGUAUACGGUGUGACGCCUGCCCGGUGCUGGAAGGUUAAUUGAUGGGGUCAGCCGUAAGGCGAAGCUCCUGAUCGAAGCCCCAGUAAACGGCGGCCGUAACUAUAACGGUCCUAAGGUAGCGAAAUUCCUUGUCGGGUAAGUUCCGACCUGCACGAAUGGCGUAAUGAUGGCCAGGCUGUCUCCACCCGAGACUCAGUGAAAUUGAACUCGCUGUGAAGAUGCAGUGUACCCGCGGCAAGACGGAAAGACCCCGUGAACCUUUACUAUAGCUUGACACUGAACAUUGAGCCUUGAUGUGUAGGAUAGGUGGGAGGCUUUGAAGUGUGGACGCCAGUCUGCAUGGAGCCAACCUUGAAAUACCACCCUUUAACGUUUGAUGUUCUAACCUAGGCCCAUAAACUGGGUCGGGGACCGUGUCUGGUGGGUAGUUUGACUGGGGCGGUCUCCUCCUAAAGAGUAACGGAGGAGCACGAAGGUUGGCUAAGCAUGGUCGGACAUCAUGCGGUUAGUGCAAAGGCAUAAGCCAGCUUGACUGCGAGAGUGACGGCUCGAGCAGGUACGAAAGUAGGUCUUAGUGAUCCGGUGGUUCUGAAUGGAAGGGCCAUCGCUCAACGGAUAAAAGGUACUCCGGGGAUAACAGGCUGAUACCGCCCAAGAGUUCAUAUCGACGGCGGUGUUUGGCACCUCGAUGUCGGCUCAUCACAUCCUGGGGCUGAAGUAGGUCCCAAGGGUAUGGCUGUUCGCCAUUUAAAGUGGUACGCGAGCUGGGUUUAGAACGUCGUGAGACAGUUCGGUCCCUAUCUGCCGUGGGCGUUGGAAGAUUGAGAGGGGUUGCUCCUAGUACGAGAGGACCGGAGUGAACGCACCACUGGUGUUCGGGUUGUCAUGCCAAUGGCAUUGCCCGGUAGCUAAGUGCGGAAGAGAUAACCGCUGAAAGCAUCUAAGCGGGAAACUUGCCUCGAGAUGAGUCUUCCCUGUCGCUUUAAGCGACCUAAAGGAACGUUUAAGACUAAGACGUUGAUAGGCUGGGUGUGUAAGCGUAGCGAUACGUUGAGCUAACCAGUACUAAUGAACCGUGAGGCUUAACCUG